Molecule: non-coding RNA, 87 nt
Organism: Musa acuminata subsp. malaccensis (wild Malaysian banana)
Lineage: Eukaryota; Viridiplantae; Streptophyta; Magnoliopsida; Zingiberales; Musaceae
Source: Rfam
AUGAGGUGAUGUGAAAAUUCAUGGUCUGUCAAUCCACUGACAUCUAUCCAUGAUGUUGCUCGUGAUAUCCCGAAAUGUUCUGAUCAU